CUGAAACAUUACGUCCUUCCCUUGGUAACUGAAUCGUUCAUUUGAAACACCCGGGACUGGAGAGAAUUCUUUUGGGGGAAAGAGUUUUCACUGUCAUUUUUAUUUGAAUUUUUCAUUUGCUUAAAGGUGAGUCCAAAUUAAACGAAAGAACUUGAGGUGUUGACUGUCUUACUAAAAUAAAGGAACAGGCACCAUUUCACAGGCAAAUCCUAUUUCUGGAACCUGUGGGACAUUAUCCAGUUUCAGUGGAGUGCCUUCGUAGCUUUCCUAAACCUAAAGGACUUAUCAGCAACAUGGAGACAAUGUUGUCCUGCAUUCUUCAGUUCCAGAAGCUGGCAGAAGAAAGGCCCUAUGAGCGGUGAGCCCGCUCUUUAGCGCGCACUGGGGAGGAGGCUCCACCUGCUGCCGGCCCACCAAUACUUCCAGCUGACUGCUUUGCAGAACAGCAAAGCAUCCCAGCUAGCUUCUGUACGGGCCCACCUGAAGCACUCCUGAGAGAUUUCAUUCGAGCUACUCCAGCCUGUCCCGUGUGAAUAAGCACAGGUCCCCCACUCAGCUGGUCUCUACUCCAAGGAUCGCGUUUCAAAAUCUGUCGACAGGAAUCAAGGAAUCAAGGUAUUUUCUUUCUCCCUGAAUCACUGGUCAGUUCUUCUCUACUCCAGUUCUUCUCUAUUAAGUGAGGACUGUGCUACCAGCCUGUGGACUCACCAUUUACAGAUCUUUUUUUUUUUUUUUUUUUCCACUGAGAUUUUUGCAUGGUCAUGUAAUUGAUGCAAUUAUAAUUUCCCCUUUAAGGUCUGUCUCCACAUCCACAUUGUAAGCUCCUGUAAGCCAGUCUGUCUCGUAUAUCACCGUAUUCCGAGUGCCCAGCACAGUACCUUGAGCCCUUCAGGACACAAAACGCGUUAAUAAUCUUAGGUGGGCGAGAGAGGAGCAAAGAAAUAAUACUAAUGGAUCCCUUAGUAAAAUCCAAUAGUAAAAAGACUGAGAGAGGGAAAGCUACAUGGAGAUGUACUGGAAAGAGGAGCUCCAAUGUUUUUAGGAAGAGAUCAGUGAUAGAGAAAACUCUGGCUGUGGGUGACUCAGAUCAGGCCCCUUGUCUCUUAACCAUAGAGAAUACGACUCCGAAUAUGUGAAUAUUGAGGACUGAGUAGUUGGAAGACGUUAAAACUGGUUUCGACAUUAAAAAAGAUUAGCAAAGAAGAUGAAAACUAGAAAAAUAUAUAAAACUUAAGUUGUUUCUUUUCUCUUUUCCAUCUAAAUGAGUAACCAUUAAUGCCUGAAAAGCAGCAACAAACCCGGUAUCAUGUCAUUGUAUGUUCGUUAAUUUCGAAGUGCUCUUUUUUUGUAUGCAAAACACAAUUCGAUAUAGUCUGUUGCCCAUGUUGCAUAAUUACCUAAUCCUACCUAGGGGGAAAAGUAAAACUAGACAGAAAAACUAAAGAGGAAGUUAAGGAUAAAUCAGAAUCCACGAUUCCCAAUUACAACUGAAAACUAUUUGAAUAUAACUCAAUAUUAUUUAUUGAUCUAUAUACUAUGGGGGCGAUUUCUCAAACUACAUACUAUUUGGUAAAAGUCUGCCAGGAGUCAAUCUGUAAGUCUGUGACAGUUCUGUUCUCUACCAGCAUCACAAAGAAAGGGUCCAGGGUGCUUAGAGUUCCCUGAAUGAAAGGCACUGUACAAGUAGAGAGUGGUGCAUGUAUUAUUAACCUUCCUGCGCUUGUUUCCUCAUCUGUAAUAUGGGGUUAAUGACAUUUCUGUACCUCACAAGAAUGUUGUGCGAAUUAAUGUUUGUAAAGCCCUUUAAGAUCCACGGAUGAAAGAUGCCAUAAAAGUCCAAAGGUGGUAAUAUUAUAGUUAUUGAAACUGGAAACACCAAUAAUGCUGGGAACUGAAUAUAUAUUUGGUUGCAAGGCACCCCGUGUAUUAUGAAUUCACAGGCACUUACAGAACCUUACUGUUUCAAAAUUAAUGUUUUUAUACAUAUAUAUAUAUGAUAAAUCCCAAAGAGAUAUUACAUAUAUGUGAUAAGCCAAAUGAAUGUAAUUUGUUCAUAAGUGGCAAAAACACAGUAACGGAGUCCACGUUUCUUCCCUGUCUCUUUCUAGAAAGCACUGUAGUAGAAUACGUUGGAUCUGUACUUGAAAUUAUGUAAUGUUAGAACGGUCUGUUUAGAAGGAGGCAGUAAAUGGCAUGUUACAAAUGCUAACAUGAUUUAAUGAAAUCAUCCGUACCUCUCAAUACUGCUAUAUUUUUCUAUACACUUUGAAUCUACUUAGUUUAUAAAUAGAAAGCAAAAAACACGUAACAGAAAUCUUUUUGAAAAUGAAAAAGACAAAUUAUCAUUUGUCACCUGUUUGUCUGAACUAAUUCUAAUGUGGGCUUUAAGAAUUUUUCUAAAUGUUUAAAAAGGCAUUUUAGGGGCGCCUG
Herpailurus yagouaroundi (jaguarundi) is the source of this 2430-nucleotide long non-coding RNA. RefSeq lists it as uncharacterized. The transcript is spliced from 4 exons. Lineage: Eukaryota; Metazoa; Chordata; Mammalia; Carnivora; Felidae. The record is from RefSeq and is a predicted model, not a curated record.